GAUGAACGCUGGCGGCGUGCCUAAUACAUGCAAGUCGAGCGAACGGACGAGAAGCUUGCUUCUCUGAUGUUAGCGGCGGACGGGUGAGUAACACGUGGAUAACCUACCUAUAAGACUGGGAUAACUUCGGGAAACCGGAGCUAAUACCGGAUAAUAUUUUGAACCGCAUGGUUCAACAGUGAAAGACGGUCUUGCUGUCACUUAUAGAUGGAUCCGCGCUGCAUUAGCUAGUUGGUAAGGUAACGGCUUACCAGGGCGACGAUGCAUAGCCGACCUGAGAGGGUGAUCGGCCACACUGGAACUGAGACACGGUCCAGACUCCUACGGGAGGCAGCAGUAGGGAAUAUUCCACAAUGGGCGAAAGCCUGACGGAGCAACGCCGCGUGAGUGAUGAAGGUCUUCGGAUCGUAAAACUCUGUUAGUAGGGAAGAACAUAUGUGUAAGUAACUGUGCACAUCUUGACGGUACCUAAUCAGAAAGCCACGGCUAACUACGUG
This 497-nucleotide ribosomal RNA is filed under the name uncultured bacterium. RNAcentral's name for it is "partial 16S ribosomal RNA". It matches the Rfam family "Bacterial small subunit ribosomal RNA", at positions 28 to 507 of the family's 1533-position model. The record is from RNAcentral.